AGUAAAGAACAGUUUGUUUAAUAUAUCUAAUCUUGUGUUGUUCAUACUAUACAAUGAUUUAUUACAGAUUAUCUGGCCAAUGCUGGGUGUCUAAGGCCUUUGAAACGCAUAGAAGACAAAGAUCUCUUGGUGGAGGAUAUCAUCAUGUUUCAGCUGGUUCAUCGAGUUAGUGGAGCACUUUAAAGGUUCAGGCAGGGGAUGAAGACCCUUGGUGUUCUUGAUGCAAUAAGAAUGCACCCAGAUGCUUUCAGACCGCUGUUUUGUCACGAGCCAUCCCCACUCACAGCGGAUGUACUAGAACUGUCAGCAGUGGGCAGGAACAAAAGAAGGGCAGAGGAAUGUGUGCAUUUUGGAGGGACUACCUGCUGGAUGUUGAGGAGCAAGAGGGACCCUUGCAACUUGGGGGUAUCCUGGCCUUUGCGACGGGAGCAAACGAUAUUCCACCCCUGGGCUUCUCCCCACUACCUUCAGUGGUUUUUCUCCAUGAGCUGCCCCUCAGACAAGGCCGUCAUUUACCCACCGCAAACACAUGCAUUAACUGCCUGCGGUUGCCAGUCCUGAAAAAAUUCGAGGAUUUUAAGGAAACUAUGGAUUUUGCAUUAAAAACACUCAGGGAUUUGGUCAGGAAUGACUUCCAAGAACUCCUUAAUAUACAUUAUUAAAAUCUGUUGCCUGUUGAACUUGACUAAAUUGAAGAGGCAUCGUUGUCAAUAACUCACCAUUUCCUAAUACAUUAUUAAUGUCUUGUUUAAACAAUUGAAAAUGGAAUAAUCAUUUGACUGAAAAGGAAACUUGUCAAUGGCCUUUUAUUAACCUUUAUUAAUUGUCUUGACACUAAUGAAGUUGCUCACUGAUAGAGUUCACUAGGCUCAAAAAUAAUUGAAUGUCAUUGGCUAGUGGGUCUACAGUUUCUAGAAUUCUGUUCAUAACUGUUUAAUUGAAAAUAAAGUCAUUUUCUGGAACAACAA
Long non-coding RNA from Perca fluviatilis (European perch), 968 nucleotides. RefSeq lists it as uncharacterized. The record is from RefSeq and is a predicted model, not a curated record. NCBI's taxonomy places the organism in Eukaryota, Metazoa, Chordata, Actinopteri, Perciformes, Percidae. The transcript has 3 exons.